GUUGCAAACCUAAAUCCAAACCUAAGUUCAGCCAUAUAUAAAGCAAACCUGAGAUGUCACAUCAUAUGUCACAACAUCAGAGGAAGAUAACAGAAGAGGAAACACCAAAGAUGGAGAUGCCAUUACUAUGGAAAAUUUGGCCACCUGAAGCCCUUCUGCUAUAAGCUGUAUGGUUAUCCUAGCCCUGUUCAUCAUCAGACUCACUAUCAACCAAGACCCAAACAUCACAGGCCUGUCAACAAGAAGCAAUGGGUUCCUAAGACAAAUGUUACAAGUCUAAUAACUCACACUUUCUUCAGAGUUUCAGCCAAAGAAGAUUGGUAUUUUGACAGUGGGUGCUCCAGACACAUGACUGGAAACAAAGACCUGAUAAAUGGCCUUCAUCCUCAUGCCAUGAGUUAUGUAACCUUUGGUGAUGGAGCAAAGGGUGAAACCAAGGGGAUUGGUAAGUUUGAUUGCCCUGGAGUUCCUGACCUUGACAAUGUCCUACUUGUUAAGGGCUUGACUGCAAAUCUAAUAAGCAUCAGUCAACUAUGUGACCAAGGUCUAAAUGUUAACUUCACUAAAACUGGAUGUCUGAUUACUAACAAAGAAAGUGAAGUGAUCAUGAAAGGAAUCAGGACCAAAGACAACUGUUACAUAUGGAUUUCUCAAAUUGGUUAUUCCUCAAAGUGUACCUUAGUCAAAGAAGAAGAAGUGAAAUCAUGGCAUAAAUGUUUGAGCAAUCUGCAUCUUAAAGAGAUGAAGAUGAGUAUAUCUGCUAGAAGAACUCCCAAAUUAAAGAUUGAUGAAAGAAAAGUCUGUGGGAAAUGUCAGACAAGGAUGUCACACCAGGAACUCAGACAUAACAUCACUUCCAAAAGUUUGAAACUCCUCCAUAUGGAUAAUAUUGGGUUUGGUAGGAGGUUAGAUCAGAUGGUAGAACAUGUUUCUAGUCAAAUACAGUCUGAAGUUGGAAAGAGACACUUCCAAAAGUUUGAAACUCCUCCAUAUGGAUAAUAUUGGGUUUGGUAGGAGGUUAGAUCAGAUGGUAGAACAUGUUUCUAGUCAAAUACAGUCUGAAGUUGGAAAGAGCUUUGUUGGACUUGGGCUACAAGUCAAGCAGAUAUAAGGGUCUAUGUGUCUAUCUCAAAGCAAAAGUGACAAGAACAAUGUUAAGAAGAUUGGGAUGGAGAGUGAAAGGACACCUGCUCCUACACAUUUGAAAGAUGAAAAUGGUGUUUGUGCUAUAUAUCAAACUGAAUAUAUAGCAGUUGGAAGUAGCUAUUCUCAACAGGGUUGGUUGAAACUACUGUUGACUAAAUACAAUGUCACACACGAUGUCAUGACAUUGUACUAUGACAACUUGAGUGUUACAACUAUGUCCAAAAAUCCUAUUCAGCACAGUUGGACCAAGCACAUUGAUUUUUGUCAUCACUUCAUUAGAGAAUUUGUGGAAUACAAAAUCACAACUCUAAAGCAUGAAAUGCAAUUAGCUGAUAAAUUUGCAAGGGUUUUGGAUGAUAGUCAGUUUGAAUGUUUAAGAGGGAAAUUGGGGAUUUUGAUUCUUGUGAAGUUAUAGCAAUUAAAGUGGAGUGGAAAAGGUAAUAAAAAUAUUGUCUGCCCACUUAAAAGAAAGAGCCACAUUAAUGAUAAGUUAUAGCAAUUAAAGUGGAGUGGAAAAGGUAAUAAAAAUAUUGUCUGCCCACUUAAAAGAAAGAGCCACAUUAAUGAUAAAUCAUUACCUAGUAUUGGAACUAGUAUCUAUGCCAUUUCCACACGUUACCUCAACACAACCAUUUCCAUCUUCAUCCUACUUCUCAGACAACCUCUGCUAGGGCAAAAAGAUUUUUAUCAAAAGUUCAACAAAAUAUCACAACAUCCCUCAUCCUCAGGAUCAAAACCCACUCAAAAAGGAAGGACUCUCUCCAUGAAGUUUCUGGAUGAAGAUACUCUGGAGGUUAUUCCCCUCUCUGUUAUUCCAGGCGACGUCCCUGGCCCUUCUUCCACGGUUGGAAGUAAUCAAGGUAACAUUCCUGAUAAAUCUCCUCAUAAGGAUGACAUGCACUUUACAGGUCGUGCCAUUAGGAACCUAGUAACUAGGAUUCUAAACGAAGGGCAUGCAGUCAAUGGUGUUUCUACCCCUCUGUCUAGAAGGGACCCCUCAUCUGAGGUGGAACCCCAAAUUGAGAAAGAUGAUGAUUCAUCUAGAUCAGAGAAAGAAGUGGCUGCUGAGGGAUUAUGCUCUCUAGGUUAAACCUUGCCUAGUAAGAAACCAGUAGAUGUUUCUCCUGAGAUUGCUAAGAAUGUUAUUAAUCUAGAGGAAAAGAGUUCAGAAGAAGAAGAGGACACCUUGGUUCAUCAUGUAAAACCAAGUGUUGCUAGGAAAUUGAAGACCAGAAAAGGGAAGACUGUGGCUGAGAUGUUGACAGCCAAAACUAGGAAGAAGACUGCUGGUGUAGGACCCUUCAAAUCAUGGAGUAAAGUUAAGGUAAAGAAGAGGAAGGUCAGAGAGAGUUCUGACUCUGAAGAGGAUGUCAAAGACGAUGUCCCAGACAUCUCUCCUGCUAAAAGGCAGGUUGUUAAAAAGUCCCCAGUCAAAGUGGCAGCUGUGCACUUAGACAACAUCUCUUUUCAUCUAGAAGAUGGUGCUGCCAAGUGGAAGUUUGUCAUUCAAAGGAGGGUUGAUGUUGAAAGGGAGCUGGGAAAGGAGGCUGUAGAAGUGAAGGAAGUGAUGGAAUUGAUCAAGAAUGCUGGUCUGAUGAAAACUGUUGUUGCUUUGCCCCAAUGUUUUGAAGGGUUAGUGAAAAAGUUUGUUGUGAAUAUCCCAGAGGAUAUUUCUGAAAAGAGUAGCAAGGAAUUCUGCAAGGUCUUUGUAAGAGGUAGAUGUGUGAGGUUCUCCCCAACCAUAAUCAACAAGUUCCUAGGGAGAGGAACUGAAGGAGUGUGGAUUUAGAGGCUACAGACAAUGAAGUCUGUAGGACUAUUACUGCUAGCCAAGUCAAGGAAUGGCCUAGUAAGAAGCAUCUAUCAGCUGGGCAAGUUAACUGUUAAAUAUGCCAUCUUGCACAAGAUUGGUUCAGCCAACUGGGUGCCAACUAACCAUAUCUCAACCAUCUCUAAUGGUCUUGGAAGAAUCAUCUAUGCUAUUGGAACCAUGCUAAACUUUGAUUUUGGAAGGUUUAUGUUUGAUCAAAUUGUUAAACAUGCCUCCACUAAUGCAGUAAAGCUGCCUAUUGCCUUUCCAUCCAUCAUUUGUGGAAUUAUCUUAAGCCAGCAAACAGGAAUUCUCAACACAAGUGAUAUUCCCAGCAGAAGGAAGCAUCCAUUGUCCAUUCACUACAAGUUGUUUGAAGGAAUCCAUGUCAAUGAUGUUGUCAUGACAUCUGCAAGGAAGGAGCCUGCCUCUCAAGGUAGCUUGAUUGAUCAAUUGAAGGAAACUUGUAAGGAGCUGGAUACUGGUAUUAGGGUUGCUAAGGAAAGGAAAGAGGCUUUGGAGGUUCUUAUUAGUAGCUUAGAGAAGGAAGAGAUGGAAAAGGAUGGUGAGACCAAGGAUUCAGAUGCCAAUUGUCAUACCCCAAUUUUGUCCGGACAUUUUAAAAAUUUCAUAAAUUAGAUUUUUUUUCAAUUUGCAUUAGUUGUACAUUAUAACAUGCAUUUCAUCAUAAAUAGUACCUAAAAUAUCAGUCAGGAUAAAUUUAUUAAAAAUACAGACAAAUUGGUUAAAUCUUUUCUCAAGUACGGACAAAAUCAGCGGAUAAAAAGUUUCGAAAUUAAAAUUGCAGACGCCAGUAUUAUUAAUCUACGGUUCAUGUAGUUUAAUCUGGUGUGCUCGUUGUAUUUUUCAGCGGCUGUUUCAGUUGCGUUUUGACCCGCCUGAGCCUUUUAACCGGUGAAAAUAUUUCAGAAUUUGAAGAAAUGCUGUAUUUUUUCAAUAAGUAUAUUUUGUACUGAUCAUUUUAGUGUGUCUGAUUUAAUUUUUUGAGCAAAUUUUCAUCCGACUUCUGUUUAUAAUCGGUUCUUUUAUUUCUUUGUUCUAGUAUUCAAAUCAGAGAUUGUUUUGUUAUUAUUAUUAUUAUUAUUCAAAUUAAAUUAUUGUCUAGGAGUUUUUAAUAAAUAUGUUUCUUUAAUAAUAGGUAAUAAUAAUGGUUAACAAAUAUAUUUUUGACAUUGAAUUUUUUCUCUCUACACGCCACCUAUCACCUCACUCACUUUAUAUCUUUCUAUAUCCCCUCAUUUAAUACCCUCACACGUUUCCUCCCUUAGACUCAUUGACUCACAUCACACAAAGACCUCUCUCUCUCAUCCAACGGUUCUAAAAAUAAAAAAUAAAUAAAAAGUGAAAAAGGAGAGUUCACUCAUAUACACCACUGGUCCAAGAGAAAAACGAAAAAACUUUAAAAGGAAACUUUGUUCCUCUUCUUCCAGGAGCAGUGACACCACCACUCCAAAACCCACUGAACUUCUUCUUCCCUUAACCUAGGCGCCACCCACAACAACAACUCUCCAUUACUUUUUAAAGCUACCACCAUCCCCAUCAUCUUCCGAGGAUCCUUCUGCAUCACCCUUCCUCCGACCAUAAAACUCCACCGUCAAUUUCGGCGAUAGCUCCACCGCGUUCACGACAACAAACACAGCUCAAACAUAACAUAGCGGCGACGUCACUUUUUCGAUUGGGUAACAUUUCAAUCUCAUAUUUUCUUUUGUGUUUGACCCCGUAUAGUUGUUGUUAUUCCAAUUUAUGUUUGCCGCACGUAGCUAGUUUGAGCAGCUUCAAUGUUACUGCAUCUAUUGUUUCGGUUAUGCGUUUGUGAUCCGACUUCACCACGCCAUUUUAGAUCCACCCUCAAUCUAAAUGACAUAAACCAAACUUUGAAAUCGCAGGCAUCUCGUUUUGGUUUGCUGCUGUUUAGUCUUGUAGUUCGAUCCUGUUUAUUUACCAAUAAAGCAUUUUAAUUAGUAUCAUAAGUUCUUGAAAUGUCCUAUGAUUAAAGUUUAGUUUUAUGAGGAAACGUGGGUAAUGUAAUUUCUUUUACUUGUUUUUUUUAAUAAACUUAAGAAAGAUGGAAGAUAUAAUCAACAUGGUAAUAAAUAGCCUUAAGAUACUGUAAUUUCUUUUACUUGUUUUUUUUAAUAAACUUAAGAAAGAUGGAAGAUAUAAUUAACAUGGUAAUAAAUAGCCUUAAGAUACUGUAAUUUCUUUUACUUGUUUUUUUUAAUAAUAAACUUAAGAAAGAUGGAAGAUAUAAUCAACAUGGUAAUAAAUAGCCUUAUGAUACUGGAAUUUCUUUUACUUGUUUUUUUAAUAAUAAACUUAAGAAAGAUGGAAGAUAUAAUCAACAUGGUAAUAAAUAGCCUUAAGAUAAAAGGUUCCUACUUUUUUUAUAGUUCAUACAUAGUGUUUAAUCUGGCUCCAUUUCAAUGUUGGACUUGGCGUUGGUGGAACUUAGUAAAUAAUUCUUCCAUGUAAGCUUUGUAUCGGAUUACUACUGUUUCGGUUGAUUAUGCAACUUUUAUGAUAUAUUGGAUUUUAAUAUACGGAUACGACCAUUUUAUGCCGAUAUGCCGUCAUAAUUUCGAUACAUCAAUGGAACAUUUCACCGAGUUAUGAGUUCGCGA
This 5598-nucleotide long non-coding RNA is filed under the name Lathyrus oleraceus (garden pea). Its description in RNAcentral is "Pisum sativum (pea) long non-coding RNA (PSAT_LNC033964)". The record is from RNAcentral. Lineage: Eukaryota; Viridiplantae; Streptophyta; Magnoliopsida; Fabales; Fabaceae.